Non-coding RNA from Myotis davidii, 73 nucleotides. Lineage: Eukaryota; Metazoa; Chordata; Mammalia; Chiroptera; Vespertilionidae. The record is from Rfam.
GGCAGUUCUCAGGUGAUGCACUAGAAUUGAGCUCCUUCCUCUCUGGUUCCAGGUGUGUCACCCGAGAACUGCA